This 102-nucleotide microRNA precursor is filed under the name Canis lupus familiaris (dog). Its description in RNAcentral is "mir-8834 microRNA precursor family". It matches the Rfam family "mir-8834 microRNA precursor family". The record is from Rfam by way of RNAcentral. Lineage: Eukaryota; Metazoa; Chordata; Mammalia; Carnivora; Canidae.
AGGAGGAACAGCCCCAGUGGCGGUGCCAGCUCUGCAGCCCUGGCUUCAGCCCCCGCAGGAACUCCGGAGCUCUCCGUCUGCAGGUGGAGGCUCCGGGCGGGG